This 204-nucleotide long non-coding RNA is filed under the name Setaria viridis. RNAcentral describes it as "long non-coding RNA (SVIR_LNC011065)". Lineage: Eukaryota; Viridiplantae; Streptophyta; Magnoliopsida; Poales; Poaceae. The record is from RNAcentral.
CUAUACUAGCCUAGCUACAUGAACACGAGAAACUACCACGCAUGGAGAUCGUUUGGAGAGCUUGCUCCAUGCCUCCCUGCCAUCAGCAUUCGAGAAGCCAAUGGUGGCUGCAGCUGAACCAAGUGACAUACUCCGCUCUGGAUUCUGACGGAUCCAUGUCCUCCUACUCCAAGCCAGCCGACCAACUUGAGCGCCAAGUAAGGC